Molecule: ribosomal RNA, 164 nt
Filed under: uncultured bacterium
Lineage: Bacteria
Description: partial 16S rRNA
Rfam family: Bacterial small subunit ribosomal RNA
Source: RNAcentral
UAGGGAAUCUUCCACAAUGGGCGCAAGCCUGAUGGAGCAACACCGCGUGAGUGAAGAAGGUUUUCGGAUCGUAAAGCUCUGUUGUAAGAGAAGAACGUGUGUGAGAGUGGAAAGUUCACACAGUGACGGUAACUUACCAGAAAGGGACGGCUAACUACGUCNCA